GGGCGGUUAGUGUAGUGGUUAUNACCCUUCCAAGGUGGAGACACGGGUUCGAUUCUCGUACCGCUCA
Molecule: transfer RNA, 67 nt
Filed under: Zygosaccharomyces bailii CLIB 213
Lineage: Eukaryota; Fungi; Ascomycota; Saccharomycetes; Saccharomycetales; Saccharomycetaceae
Description: tRNA-Pro (AGG) (tRNA-Pro-AGG-3-1)
Rfam family: tRNA
About the family: Transfer RNA (tRNA) molecules are approximately 80 nucleotides in length. Their secondary structure includes four short double-helical elements and three loops (D, anti-codon, and T loops).
Source: RNAcentral